GAUGAACGCUGGCGGCGUGCUUAACACAUGCAAGUCGAACGAAGCACUUUAUUUGAUUUCCUUCGGGACUGAUUAUUUUGUGACUGAGUGGCGGACGGGUGAGUAACGCGUGAGUAACCUGCCUUGUACAGGGGGAUAACAGUUGGAAACGGCUGCUAAUACCGCAUAAGCGCACAGCAUCGCAUGAUGCAGUGUGAAAAACUCCGGUGGUAUAAGAUGGACCCGCGUUGGAUUAGCUAGUUGGUGAGGUAACGGCCCACCAAGGCGACGAUCCAUAGCCGACCUGAGAGGGUGACCGGCCACAUUGGGACUGAGACACGGCCCAAACUCCUACGGGAGGCAGCAGUGGGGAAUAUUGCACAAUGGGCGAAAGCCUGAUGCAGCGACGCCGCGUGAGCGAAGAAGUAUUUCGGUAUGUAAAGCUCUAUCAGCAGGGAAGAUAAUGACGGUACCUGACUAAGAAGCACCGGCUAAAUACGUG
RNAcentral lists this ribosomal RNA (481 nucleotides) under uncultured bacterium. RNAcentral's name for it is "partial 16S ribosomal RNA". It matches the Rfam family "Bacterial small subunit ribosomal RNA", at positions 28 to 507 of the family's 1533-position model. The record is from RNAcentral.